This is a non-coding RNA of Macaca mulatta (Rhesus monkey), 1829 nucleotides long. The record is from RefSeq and is a predicted model, not a curated record. Lineage: Eukaryota; Metazoa; Chordata; Mammalia; Primates; Cercopithecidae.
GGUUUCACUGUGUUAGCCAGGAUGGUCUCAAUCUCCUGACCUCGUGAUCCGCCCACCUCCGCCUCCCAAAGUGCCCAGCAGAAGCCUCUUAGCAGCCUUUACCUGAUCUGACUGGAUGCUAGUGGCAGGAUGUUAUGGGGUUCUUGGGAGUUGAACGUACUGCUCCGGGGGGCGAGCUGAUUCUCUGUACCAGUCACCAAUCCAAAAAGAACCUGGCAGACAAGAAAUGGAGCUCAAUAAAAUGCAGAGGUUUCAUUGUGCAGGUAAAAGGCAGGCAAAAAAAAAAAAAGUCACCGAUCACUAUCGUAUUUCUAAGCAUCAUUUUGGGGAAUGUUCUGAGUGCGUUAAUGCUUCAUGAUUACUUUUUAUCACUGCCCACAGGUCAGAAUCUGAGAGGCAGGGCGUUUUUUAUUCCUGUUUCUGAGGCCUGGAUAAAACUGUAAUAAUCCUUAUUUAUAACUAAAGGGGCCAAAUCUUGGUUGCCUCAGUGUGUGAGAUUUUAUCUAAUCCUCUUUCAGCUCUCAUAACUACACUCGGCUAUUUGUGUCUUAUCCCCCUCCCUACGCUGCAUCCUGGAGUAUUAUGUGCUGGAGCAGGUUAAUUUUGUAAUUUCAGCCUGUGGCACUUGGUUCGCACUGAGCAUGUUUUUGAUUUGACUCACAGAAGUUCGCUGCACCAGGCGAUGAAGGUUGCUGUUAAGGUGUGGUGUGAAAACGUCCAGGUCAAAUGGAUCAAUGAGGGCUUCCAGGUGGUCAGUCACUUUCUCAAUUCUGAGAAAAGGAUUAGGAUCAUUACUGUCCACAUUUUUUAGGAUCAAAAACCAUCAUAAUAUCCUACUGCUGUAGAAAUCUUGGAGUUGGAUUUUAUUCUACGUGGUUGUUGGCUUAGUACAUUUGUCACUGAUGAUAGUGCUUAAGUCACCCUCAAGAGUUUCAACCUGACAUCAUGUCUAAGUGAAGCCCACCCCUUCCCCCUCUUCUGUCUAUAAGAAGAGCACUAAGUGCUCGAAUGAUACUCAGCAGCUGCUAGGCUGACUCAGAAGAGAGGCGAAGGACAGUCCACCUAUUUCACUUGACCAUGGCAUUUAUCCAGCAGGCGGCCAUUAUUUAACUUGCUGGUAAUAUGAGCACUGACUGUUCAAAACAAACACAAUGAAUGUGCUGUAUAACAGGCUGACUCUGGUGGCUUCCCAGCAAAGGGACUAUCUGCUUUUGGAAGAGACUGCCUUGACAUAGCUCAGUAGAGGAUACGACACCUGGAGUCUGGCUUGCUCCGGCCACUCUUCACCUCGUCAGCCUUGGCUGUCAGAACAAUGUUGAGGUAACGCAGAUCAUAAAGCAGCUGCAGCGCCCGGUUCUGGGUGACUGGAAAUGCACCUUCUUUCUGCAAAUGAAUUCCCGGUCCCCACCCAUGAAGAGAGAGGACUUGAGACAGGGUCUUGCUUCAUCACCCAGGCUGGAGUGCAGUGGUGCGAUCAUAGCUCACUGCAGCCUCGAACUCCCAAGCUAAAGCCAUCCUCCCACCUCGGCCUCCCAAAGUUCUGGGUCUUGGUCUUUCCAUCUGUGCUGAGCUGCCUUCUUAGCGAAGAUCUGCUCGACUCUUCAGAAUGGGUCCCAUGGUGCCUGCUGGGAUGGGACCUGCUCACCUGUGCAGGGAGUCGGAUCUUGGAUGUGACGCUGCUGCCAGACUCUGCCUCCUCCUGAAUUUCUAGCUCAUCCCAGCUGGUGGCUGUGGCCAGGACUGAGCCAGCAUCAUCUAGAAGUAAUGACUGGGUGAAUCCAUGAAUCAAAACCUGGUAAUAAAAGGCAAAUAUCCAUACAAGCCACUCA